This 69-nucleotide transfer RNA is filed under the name Epinephelus areolatus (areolate grouper). RNAcentral describes it as "tRNA-Glu". It matches the Rfam family "tRNA". From Rfam's summary of the family: Transfer RNA (tRNA) molecules are approximately 80 nucleotides in length. The record is from RNAcentral. Lineage: Eukaryota; Metazoa; Chordata; Actinopteri; Perciformes; Serranidae.
GUUUCUGUAGUUGAAUUACAACAAUGGUUUUUCAAGCCAUAGUUCCUGGUUAGAGUCCUGGCGGAAAUU